AGUGAACGCUGGCGGUAGGCCUAACACAUGCAAGUCGAACGGCAGCACAGUAAGAGCUUGCUCUUACGGGUGGCGAGUGGCGGACGGGUGAGGAAUACAUCGGAAUCUACUUUUUCGUGGGGGAUGACGUAGGGAAACUUACGCUAAUACCGCAUACGACCUACGGGUGAAAGCAGGGGAUCUUCGGACCUUGCGCGAUUGAAUGAGCCGAUGUCGGAUUAGCUAGUUGGCGGGGUAAAGGCCCACCAAGGCGACGAUCCGUAGCUGGUCUGAGAGGAUGAUCAGCCACACUGGAACUGAGACACGGUCCAGACUCCUACGGGAGGCAGCAGUGGGGAAUAUUGGACAAUGGGCGCAAGCCUGAUCCAGCCAUACCGCGUGGGUGAAGAAGGCCCUCGGGUUGUAAAGCCCUUUUGUUGGGAAAGAAAAGCAGCAGGUUAAUACCCCGCUGUUCUGACGGUACCCAAAGAAUAAGCACCGGCUAACUUCGUG
This 492-nucleotide ribosomal RNA is filed under the name uncultured bacterium. Its description in RNAcentral is "partial 16S ribosomal RNA". It matches the Rfam family "Bacterial small subunit ribosomal RNA", at positions 29 to 507 of the family's 1533-position model. The record is from RNAcentral.